This is a long non-coding RNA of Perca fluviatilis (European perch), 390 nucleotides long. RefSeq lists it as uncharacterized. Lineage: Eukaryota; Metazoa; Chordata; Actinopteri; Perciformes; Percidae. The record is from RefSeq and is a predicted model, not a curated record. The transcript is spliced from 4 exons.
UCUUAAACUACGGCUGUCAUAUAUUUGUGGCCACAAGCUGGAUUUCGGGGGCGCUGUUUCCCCCUGUGGAUAAAGUUAAGGAGAGACUCUUUUCUUCUUUGUUUCCUGUUUACAGUGACAGCCUUCACAUCAUCAUCAGCAGCAGCAGCAGUAGAGAAUAUAAUCCACGGAGGUUUUAUAUCGGUAUGUACGGCGUUUUAAUCACUGUUCUGUCGUCUAAGAAGCUGGUAAACUUAUCAAAAGAUCCAACUUCUUUCCAGGAAAGAUUACGGUGUCUUUAGCGAAGGCUCCAUCAGCACACAGGACAGAGCCAACAGCGACGGUUUCCAGACCUGCCGAGCCUGAUGACUCCUCUGGGAUUGUUGCUUCUGUGAAAGGCUGAAGGCCCCG